Molecule: ribosomal RNA, 468 nt
Filed under: uncultured bacterium
Lineage: Bacteria
Description: partial 16S ribosomal RNA
Rfam family: Bacterial small subunit ribosomal RNA
Source: RNAcentral
GACGAACGCUGGCGGCGUGCUUAACACAUGCAAGUCGAACGGAAAGGCCCUGCUUUUGUGGGGUGCUCGAGUGGCGAACGGGUGAGUAACACGUGAGUAACCUGCCCUUGACUUUGGGAUAACUUCAGGAAACUGGGGCUAAUACCGGAUAGGAGCUCCUGCUGCAUGGUGGGGGUUGGAAAGUUUCGGCGGUUGGGGAUGGACUCGCGGCUUAUCAGCUUGUUGGUGGGGUAGUGGCUUACCAAGGCUUUGACGGGUAGCCGGCCUGAGAGGGUGACCGGCCACAUUGGGACUGAGGUACGGCCCGGACUCCUACGUGAGGCAGCAGUGGGGAAUAUUGCACAAUGGGCGGAAGCCUGAUGCAGCAACGCCGCGUGCGGGAUGACGGCCUUCGGGUUGUAAACCGCUUUCGCCUGUGACGAAGCGUGAGUGACGGUAAUGGGUAAAGAAGCACCGGCUAACUACGUG